GGCUCCUGAUGCAAUUUCAUCUUCUGAUCCUUCACCUGGAGGCCAGAGGUUACAGGAUACCAAAGGAAGAUUGUGACUGAAAAAGAAAAAGAAGGACCAUCAUAAAGAGAAGAUAAAUGACUGGUGCAUUAUUUUGGAGAACAAGGCUGUGGCUAUCAAUGGAUCCCCAAAGUAAUGUUACCACAAAAUGGGAAGAAACACCAGUCUCCAGGAAAAAGGCCUGACUCAGUAAGGUUUCGUUUUGUGGAUAUGGAGAGAAGCACCUAGAAACGAGAACAACUACUGUAAUGCAUAUUGAACAGUCUGUGUCAGUCACUUGACUUUGGAUGAGGGGCAAAUCUCAGUUGACAAACUCAGCUCAAAAAUAAGUAUCGUAUACAGCUUUGCAGUUCCCCGUGACAUAAGAACUAAAAGACGCUAGUUUAUGGAGAGAGUGAGUGAAUGAAUGAGUGAGGGGAUGGAUGGAUGGAUAGAUAAGUUCAUGGAUGAAAUUUGAGUCCUGAAUAUCUAGAGAAUCGCUGUGGAACAGGCUCAGUUAAGUCAGAAGUGGUAUGUUCCAAAUUAAAUGAGUCUUUUCCAGCCUCAGCUUUUCAUAACCACUUCCUGGGGAUGCAGCGCCUUCUGGUGGAAAUCCAGAUGUGCUGCCUCCUCCCUAGACGGUCCUAACCAACGGGCCCUUUGAUGACUCCAUCCCAGAUGGCCAUCUCCUCACUGUGAACACCUCAAUGACAUUGAUGAGGCUCAGUAAAUUCCAGCAAGUCCCUUCUAGUAGUAACCCAAGUACCCACAAGAUGAACAAUGAAGGGUUCCAUUAGAACUUUAGGUUAGAGCAGCACUUCUCAAACUUUUCUGGGCAGAUGAAUUACCUGGAGAGGAUCUUGUUAAAAUGAAGAUUUUCACUGGGCUAUUCUGAGUUGUGGAUCAAGAUUCUGAAUUUUCAAUUCCGGUCCAGUGGCAGCCAACUGCUACUGCAUCUGCUCAACAUUGCACCCCUGUGGGGGCUGGCAGCUGCCAGAUACAUGAAGUAUAACUGGGAAGUAUAACUGGGAAGCCCCGGGGGUCUGGGGGCGGGGGUGAUGGUUUAAGCAGACAGUCUGAAACUUAUAAAUUACUGUUGUCCCCUUCAGGGUUUGCUCUUUGAAG
Non-coding RNA from Saimiri boliviensis boliviensis (Bolivian squirrel monkey), 1143 nucleotides. The record is from RefSeq and is a predicted model, not a curated record. Lineage: Eukaryota; Metazoa; Chordata; Mammalia; Primates; Cebidae.